GCCAGGAGCAUCGCUGGGUAGCUAUGUGUGGCAGGGAUAAACGCUGAAAGCAUCUAAGCGUGAAGCCCCCCUCAAGAUGAGAUUUCCCAUUUCUUCGGAAAGUAAGAUCCCUGAAAGAUGAUCAGGUAGAUAGGUUUGGAGUGGAAGUGUAGCGAUACAUGGAGCGGACAAAUACUAAUCGAUCGAGGACUUAACCAAAA
RNAcentral lists this ribosomal RNA (200 nucleotides) under Listeria monocytogenes. RNAcentral describes it as "partial 23S ribosomal RNA". It matches the Rfam family "Bacterial large subunit ribosomal RNA", at positions 2728 to 2925 of the family's 2925-position model. Lineage: Bacteria; Bacillati; Bacillota; Bacilli; Caryophanales; Listeriaceae. The record is from RNAcentral.